Long non-coding RNA from Syngnathoides biaculeatus (alligator pipefish), 1063 nucleotides. RefSeq lists it as uncharacterized. The record is from RefSeq and is a predicted model, not a curated record. NCBI's taxonomy places the organism in Eukaryota, Metazoa, Chordata, Actinopteri, Syngnathiformes, Syngnathidae. The transcript has 5 exons.
UUAAUCAUUCUGAGUGUGGCGAAGUAGUUGUGUGCCUCGAAAAAAAGGGGUGAGAUACUACAGCACCACAAUUUAUUUGAUUUUUUUUUUUUUAAAGAUUUGUCUCCACUUCAUCAACUGGUGAUGAUAAUUGGAAUCCACAAGGGACAGCAGGCUUGAAUGAAUGUGUAAUGGUCAGUCACUGCUGUUCACUCGGACACUUAGUGAUUAGGGCUAAUGAGCAGGAGAGAACAAUGAACCCUGGCAGAUAAUUUGAAGGGUGCACCCAUGAAUACACAGAGAACCUGUAAAUUGUAAAUUUUGGAAUUACAAAAAUAAUUUAAUACAUAUAUUCCACAGGAUUUUGUGACCUUAACCGCUAUGCAUUCAUUCAUCUGCUGCGACUUGAGUGUCCAUGCUGUCAUUGGGGAGUUUCUGGGUCAGUCAUUCUAGACAAGUUACAAGGGGCCCGGUUGAUUCAUUUUCCAAAGCCUAAAACACAGGUGACGAAAUGUCUACAAUGGAUGAAGGCUUGAGGAAGACCACACGUACAACUAAAUGUGGACAAUAUAAACAAACACAAGGCUGUAUGUUCGAAGCUCCAAAAACCUCCUGAAAUGGAGGAUUCGAAUAUGAUGCCAGUCCUGUAAUUCCUCUGCAAGACCAUCAAAUGAAACAGGUGGUUCACCGUCACCAUGAAGAACCCCAAGACAUUCAAAACCAAGACAUCUACCAUCAACCUCGAGCCAUUCACCACACAUGAGCUUCUACCCUUCCUACAAAGAGAGUUGGCCCAUGUAGGAAGCAAGGUUCCAAAAAAAGGGCUGAUGCUGCUUACUGAGAUAAGGGACACCAGCAGGCAUCAAGACCAUAGGGCAGCACAAGAAGAGAACAUCGACAUUUUACAGAUAAAAUAUCUGGCCGACUUCAUUGUCCUUGAACAGAUGGUGAAGGAAGACUCUUCUGCUUCUGCAGAACUGCUAUGAUUAAGUAUGGAAAAAGUUGUUGAGUUUAAUUUUAACAACAAACUAAUUCCAAAUUUUGUCAUCCUCUUUUUGAUUUGACAAUUUCUUUAGAAAAGUUC